GAACGCGAAGAACCUUACCAGGUCUUGACAUUGAUGGACAGAACCAGAGAUGGUUCCUCUUCUUCGGAAGCCAGAAAACAGGUGGUGCACGGUUGUCGUCAGCUCGUGUCGUGAGAUGUUGGGUUAAGUCCCGCAACGAGCGCAACCCCUAUCUUAUGUUGCCAGCACUUCGGGUGGGAACUCAUGAGAGACUGCCGCAGACAAUGCGGAGGAAGGCGGGGAUGACGUCAAAUCAUCAUGCCCCUUAUGACCUGGGCUACACACGUACUACAAUGGGAGUUAAUAGACGGAAGCGAAACCGCGAGGUGGAGCAAACCCGAGAAACACUCUCUCAGUUCGGAUCGUAGGCUGCAACUCGCCUACGUGAAGUCGGAAUCGCUAGUAAUCGCAGGUCAGCAUACUGCGGUGAAUACGUUCCCGGGUCUUGUACACAC
RNAcentral lists this ribosomal RNA (434 nucleotides) under uncultured bacterium. Its description in RNAcentral is "bacterial SSU rRNA". It matches the Rfam family "Bacterial small subunit ribosomal RNA", at positions 957 to 1390 of the family's 1533-position model. The record is from RNAcentral.